RNAcentral lists this ribosomal RNA (254 nucleotides) under uncultured bacterium. Its description in RNAcentral is "partial 16S ribosomal RNA". It matches the Rfam family "Bacterial small subunit ribosomal RNA", at positions 524 to 776 of the family's 1533-position model. The record is from RNAcentral.
UACGUAGGGUGCGAGCGUUAAUCGGAAUUACUGGGCGUAAAGCGUGCGCAGGCGGUUUUGUAAGCCAGAUGUGAAAUCCCCGGGCUUAACCUGGGAAUGGCAUUUGGGACUGCAAGGCUGGAGUGUGGCAGAGGAGACUGGAAUUCCUGGUGUAGCAGUGAAAUGCGCAGAUAUCAGGAGGAACACCAAUGGCGAAGGCAGCUCGCUGGGACGGUUACUGACGCUGAGACGCGAAAGCGUGGGGAGCAAACGGG